CCGCGGGAUUAGAGUUUGAUCCUGGCUCAGAUUGAACGCUGGCGGCAGGCUUAACACAUGCAAGUCGAGCGGAUGAAGGUAGCUUGCUACUGGAUUCAGCGGCGGACGGGUGAGUAAUGCUUAGGAAUCUGCCUAUUAGUGGGGGACAACGUUCCGAAAGGAGCGCUAAUACCGCAUACGUCCUACGGGAGAAAGCAGGGGACCUUUGGGCCUUGCGCUAAUAGAUGAGCCUAAGUCGGAUUAGCUAGUUGGUAGGGUAAAGGCCUACCAAGGCGACGAUCUGUAGCGGGUCUGAGAGGGUGAUCCGCCACACUGGGACUGAGACACGGCCCAGACUCCUACGGGAGGCAGCAGUGGGGAAUAUUGGACAAUGGGGGGAACCCUGAUCCAGCCAUGCCGCGUGUGUGAAGAAGGCCUUUUGGUUGUAAAGCACUUUAAGCGAGGAGGAGGCUACCUAGAUUAAUACUUUAGGAUAGUGGACGUUACUCGCAGAAUAAGCACCGGCUAACUCUGUGCCAGCAGCCGCGGUAAUACAGAGGGUGCGAGCGUUAAUCGGAUUUACUGGGCGUAAAGCGUGCGUAGGCGGCCAAUUAAGUCAAAUGUGAAAUCCCCGAGCUUAACUUGGGAAUUGCAUUCGAUACUGGUUGGCUAGAGUAUGGGAGAGGAUGGUAGAAUUCCAGGUGUAGCGGUGAAAUGCGUAGAGAUCUGGAGGAAUACCGAUGGCGAAGGCAGCCAUCUGGCCUAAUACUGACGCUGAGGUACGAAAGCAUGGGGAGCAAACAGGAUUAGAUACCCUGGUAGUCCAUGCCGUAAACGAUGUCUACUAGCCGUUGGGGCCCUUGAGGCUUUAGUGGCGCAGCUAACGCGAU
Molecule: ribosomal RNA, 869 nt
Filed under: uncultured Gammaproteobacteria bacterium
Lineage: Bacteria; Pseudomonadati; Pseudomonadota; Gammaproteobacteria
Description: bacterial SSU rRNA
Rfam family: Bacterial small subunit ribosomal RNA
Source: RNAcentral